CACUCUCCCGACAGAGUGUUAGGGCCUUUGUCUUUAGCUUGAAUGUACAUUUCAUACAUUUUGGUUUCCUCAAAAUCAAUGACACCUUUGACUUUUAUUUCUCCUGUGUUUUGAUUCAGAGAAAACACUUCCUGCGUCUUCUCAGAUGUGUACAGGAUGAAUGAAUAUUCGAUCUCCGCGCUUGAGCCCUCAUCUAAGUCUGUAGCGUUCAGCUUCAGUACAAGUGUCCCUAGCGGAGAAUUCUCUGUAAUAUUAACGGAAUAAACCUGCCGGUCAAACUGAGGGGCAUUGUCAUUCGUGUCCAGUACGCGCACAAUGAUGUUAGCAGUUCCGGACCGCGCCGGGACUCCGCCGUCUACAGCGACUUGGGGAGGAAGAGCAGAGAUUGCUCCUCCUCAUCUUGUGAUGUCAGAGCCUCCUGCUGCCUCCCAGAGGAUGCCUUCUGGACCACAGACAGCUGCAGCAUCCAGACCACCAAUGGGGGAUGAGUUACAGUGCAGCCAAUGGAGAGUGCUGCCUGGAAGUCGGAGAUUUUAUUCCUGAAGGGAAAUCACUGGAUAGUCAAGAUUUAACUACUGGGUAGCACUGGUGCUCCCAAUUUCAAUUUGGUAGCAGCACCAAAAAUGUAAUUAUUUAUGAUAACUAAAUAUUUCACUGUUGACAUCAUGUGAUCACUGGGGAUACACAACCAGAACCUGUCCCAAUUCUGUCACAUGACACCCUGCUUCAAUAAAGGUUAAAUAAUGCAAAAAAA
Conger conger (European conger) is the source of this 754-nucleotide long non-coding RNA. RefSeq lists it as uncharacterized. Lineage: Eukaryota; Metazoa; Chordata; Actinopteri; Anguilliformes; Congridae. The record is from RefSeq and is a predicted model, not a curated record. The transcript has 2 exons.